CAUCGUCAGCGUAUUCAGUAUUAACRCARGCUAUGAUGUGAUUAUACGAUCCUUGUGGUCRUGUARAUUAUACAUGCUUGUGUUAUUUAYGCUGGAUAUCGUCGGCGUGCACUUCUCCUCUAGUAGAACGUCGCGACCCGUUAAAUGUUUAUCUAUGGCCCRAUURGGUAGCCUUUAGUAUUUUWAAUACURAAGACCAUUGGUGUUCCUGAUAAACUGUUUGACGGUAUUCUAUGGUAUUGAGCCGCAAAAUUUAUUUUGCGUUAAACUUGCUGCAAGCGAAGCAUWUUCUGGUAGUGCGGAYUUURUGCCGUCGCYAGAAUAUGUUAGCUGUURGCGUGCAAWGUUCUUUAACUGGCUUAUUUACCGAUCAGCGAUGCUACUGCUUUGGGUACUUACAGGACCCGUCUUGAAACACGGACCAAGGAGUCUAACAUGUACGCGAGUCAUUGGGAUUAUUUUAAUAAAACAAACCUAAAGGCGUAAUGAAAGUAAAGAUUGUCCUUGUGACAAUUGAGGGAAGAUGGGUUACGUUACGAUGUAAUYCCGCACUCCCGGGAUGUCUUAUUCUCAUUGARAAAAGGCG
This 586-nucleotide ribosomal RNA is filed under the name Sania sp. 3 JCB-2006. RNAcentral describes it as "partial 28S ribosomal RNA". It matches the Rfam family "Eukaryotic large subunit ribosomal RNA", at positions 444 to 791 of the family's 3401-position model. Lineage: Eukaryota; Metazoa; Arthropoda; Insecta; Hymenoptera; Braconidae. The record is from RNAcentral.